RNAcentral lists this ribosomal RNA (497 nucleotides) under uncultured bacterium. RNAcentral describes it as "partial 16S ribosomal RNA". It matches the Rfam family "Bacterial small subunit ribosomal RNA", at positions 28 to 507 of the family's 1533-position model. The record is from RNAcentral.
GAUGAACGCUGGCGGCGUGCCUAAUACAUGCAAGUCGAGCGAACAGACGAGGAGCUUGCUCCUCUGACGUUAGCGGCGGACGGGUGAGUAACACGUGGAUAACCUACCUAUAAGACUGGGAUAACUUCGGGAAACCGGAGCUAAUACCGGAUAAUAUAUUGAACCGCAUGGUUCAAUAGUGAAAGACGGUUUUGCUGUCACUUAUAGAUGGAUCCGCGCCGCAUUAGCUAGUUGGUAAGGUAACGGCUUACCAAGGCAACGAUGCGUAGCCGACCUGAGAGGGUGAUCGGCGACACUGGAGCUGAGACACGGUCCAGACUCCUACGGGAGGCAGCAGUAGGGAAUCUUCCGCAAUGGGCGAAAGCCUGACGGAGCAACGCCGCGUGAGUGAUGAAGGUCUUCGGAUCGUAAAACUCUGUUAUUAGGGAAGAACAAAUGUGUAAGUAACUAUGCACGUCUUGACGGUACCUAAUCAGAAAGCCACGGCUAACUACGUG